UAUUGCAGCCAGAAUGAGAUUUUAUUUUAAACAAGGGACGGGAAAACAGCAGCGUUCCAAGGGGGAACUGUUGACAUCGGCACUGUUGCACCUGGGUCACUUUAGGGGGAGGGAAACCGCGGCACCCCAGAUGUAACCUGGAGGCCGGAAUGUGUCAAGUGUCUUCAUUGCUGCGCAUUAUCUCCUGUACUUUACAGGUGGAGAUGUGUGGAUACGUAAGAACACUGGAGAGAGGACAAGAGAAAUUCUCAACACAUGGCAACUCAUAUAAGACGUAACAUCUGUGAAUGAUACAGUAUUCUGAGCACAACAUGCUGUUAAAGCUUCUAUGGAAAAAACAACUCCCAAACGGCUGUGAAAUCAGCUCUGCUGAGCAAGAGGAAGAAGAGGAAUGGGUUGCGUGGCAGGGCCAAACAGGAGAUGUUCAGAGGGAGAUGAUGCCACAUCUGGUCCAGCCGAUGGAAGGUCUUGAAGUUCUCUGACUGGCCUCUACUGAAGAUGGUCGUCUCACUGGAUUUAAGGUUCAGAUGCUCAGUAACAAACUCCACCAAUGAGCCAACAGGGAAGCUUUAGGUUUAUUAAAUGUUGCUAUGAAGGUUUCGCUGUUUUUCUUUGUGAAUGCAAUGAGCUCCAACUGAAACUUGAAUUAGAACUUAGAAGUAAAUCCUUCCAUCUGAAAGGAUUUAGUUGCAUUAAUAACCUCAUAACAUUCUAAUUUUUAUUCCAGUCUUAGUUGGAAAUAGAAUCUCUGUAUUGAUUCAGGUAAAAACUGAACUUCACAGAAUGUUGGAGCAAAACAACCAGAUGAAAACUGUGAUGGUGUUGGAUUGUCAGACCGUAAUGUUGCAGCUCAAAGCAGCUUUUCUAUCUCAGUUCAUUCUGACAUUCAGCUAUGAAUCAACACACUCACAUCUCCUGAUUUAAUGGAGCUGCUUUGCACUUUUUACACUGUUUAUUCACCAAC
Molecule: long non-coding RNA, 964 nt
Organism: Amphiprion ocellaris (clown anemonefish)
Lineage: Eukaryota; Metazoa; Chordata; Actinopteri; Pomacentridae
Source: Ensembl